GCAGACGUGGAACCUCGCGGUGCUUCCUGAGUCUACACUGAGUCUCGAGUGGGCGGUGACUGGGCAGCCGGUCCCAAGAUCUUUUCGAGGCUCAAAGUCCCCUCAACUCCUUCGUGUCCGAGUCCGAGCUCUGUCUUGUAUCCGAGAUCUAGUGGGACGUGAGGUAGUUGCACGCCAUUACCUCAGCGCCAGCCGCCUUGCAGCUCCGGAGACCAAGCGGUGAGGCUAAAGAGGCCGAUGCACCUGGCCCUUCCAAGCAGUCCCCCUCACCCUCCAGCCAGAGGACGUCUAGGAGCCUGAAGCCAGCCGAGUUACCCAGGGGACAAGGCUGUGUCCUGAAGGCCGGUGUUGCUGAGGCUCUGCCCUUCGGAAGCUGUGGAACUGACAACUUUGAAGCCCUGAGAGGAUCUGCAAAAUUCUGAUUUAGGACCCAGGAGGCCUUGAACUUGCUCAGAGUUAUAUGCUGUGGACAGUACAUCCUAGAGAAUUUGGUGCUUGCUGUUUUUAGAGGGCUAUUUUCUCCUGGGCCAGCCCCCAGCUAAAACAGGAAGUGAGGAUUUUAAGAGAUGAUCCUAGGAGCUUGAAAUUUAAGCUGACCUCCUCUGUCAUUAGCCACAAAGCUUUAGCCUAAAGUGGUGGCGCAUGUCUUUAAUCCCAGCACUUGAGAGGCAGGUGGAUCUUUGUGAGUUCUGGCCAGCCUGGUCUACAGAUCGGGUUUGUACUGGCUAGUUUUGUGUCAACUUGAGUUGACACAGUCUGGAGUCUGGUGUGGUAGUCUUGGUUCUAUAAGAAAGCAGGCUGAGGGCUGGUGAGAUGGCUCAGUGGGUAAGAGCACCCGACUGCUCUUCCGAAGGUCAGGAGUUCAAAUCCCAGCAACCACAUGGUGGCUCACAACCAUCCGUAACAGGAUCUGACGCCCUCUUCUGUAGUGUCUGAAGACAGCUACAGUGUACUUACAUAUAAUGAAUAAAUAAAUCUUUGAAAAAAAAAAAAGCCAGGGGAAGCAAGCCAGUAAUGAACAUCCCUCCAUGGCCUCUGCAUCAGCUCCUGCUUUCUGACCUGCUUGACUCCCAGUCCUGACUUCCUUUGGUGAUGAACAGCAGUGUGGAAGAGUAAGCCGAAUAAACCCUUUCGUGGCCAUGAGGUUUGUGCAGAAAUAGAAACCCUGACUAAGACAGGGUUCCAGGACAGAGAAGCUCUUAUCUCAAAAAACCAAAACAAAUCAAAAGACAAUGAAGCUCUGCUAUUUUCCUCCACUUCAGUAUGAGGGGAAUCACCGCUCCUCCUGCCCCCAGUGAGAUGGAAAUGGCAGCUAUAGGAUACUAUAAUAUAUAUAUAUAUAUAUAUACAGGGGCAAUACUGUGGAUACCGUAAUAUGAUGUAUAUAUACAGGGGUAAUACUGUGGAUACCGUAAUAUAAUAUACAGGGGUAAUACUGUGGAUACCAUAAUAUGAUAUAUAUACAGGGGUAA
Molecule: long non-coding RNA, 1472 nt
Filed under: Mus musculus (house mouse)
Lineage: Eukaryota; Metazoa; Chordata; Mammalia; Rodentia; Muridae
Description: predicted gene, 56602
Source: RNAcentral